AUGAUGGUGAAUCCGCCGCCGGGCAGUUCUUCUCUGACGCUGCCGACCGCUCGCUGCUCGUCCCGCGGCGGCCUCCUAUGCGGGGUGCUGCCGAUGCGAUCGACCAGAGCUCCCCGGCCUGCCGUCGCUAGAGCAGUGGCCAAGAACAAGCCACAAGUUGGAGGAAAUGUUGCGAGCAUGCCAAAUCUGUUAGGAUCAUUAAAUUGCAAGGUCGAGAAGAAGGCUAGAGAGACUCAAACAAAGAAGCAGCUCCACAAACCUGAAGAAGUGCCGACGUGUCAGGAAAGUCUACAUCGCCAACUUUCCAUGGUGGAUGUGCUCCAAAAGAUCGGUAUAUCUCGGCAUUUUGCCAGUGAGAUCAAGAGUAUCCUGGAUUUUACAUACAGUUAUUGGUUACAAAGAGAUGAGAUCAUGCUAGAUGUGGAGACAUGUGCCAUGGCGUUCCGCAUCUUACGGAUGAAUGGGUACAAUGUAUCAGCUGAUGGCCUGUCACAUAUCUCCACCGAUCUGAGUGACACGAGAUCUUUGUUGGAACUAUACAAGGCUUCACAAGUUAGUACUUCAGACGAUGAGUUGAUUCUGGAUAUUAUAGGAUACUGGUCAGGUCACCUACUGAGGCAACAACUGAAAUCUAGUGAGGCACAAAGAACCCCACUCCUAAGAGAGGUAGAACAUGUUCUUGAUAGCCCCUUCUACACCAUGUUGGAUCGUCUGGAGCAUAAGAGGAACAUCGAACAAUUUGACAUAAUCGAGCAUCCCAUCCUACAAUUGACUUGGCAGACAAAUCAAGAUCUUCUAGCUUUGGGUGUCAUGGAUUUCAAUACAAGUCAAUCUAUUUACCAACAAGAAUAUCAGCAUCUCGAGAGUUGGGUGAGAGAGAGCAGGCUGAACCGGCUACCUUUCGCAAGACAGAAGUUGGCAUAUUUCUACCUGUCAGCUGCCAGCACCAUGUUCCCUCCGGAGCUAUCUGAUGCUCGCAUCCUAUGGGCCAAGAAUGGCGCGCUCACAACGGUUGUUGAUGACUUCUUUGACGUUGGGGGAUCAAAAGACGAAUUGGAGAACCUCACUGCAUUAGUCGAGAUGUGGGAGCACCAAGAGGAAACUGAGUACUACUCUGAACAAGUCGAGAUCGUGUUCUCUGCAAUUUAUAGCUCGGUAAACGAGCUUGGAUCAAAGGCUUCCACAGUGCAAGGUCGCGAUGUCACGGGACACCUAGUAGAAAUUUGGCAAGAAUUGCUAAGGAAUAUGAUGACUGAGGUGGAAUGGAGAACGGGCGGAUACGUUCCAACUCUAGAUGAGUACAUAGAAAAUGCAGUUGUGACAUUUGCGUUGGGCCCAAUUGUGCUUCCGGCGUUGUACUUUGUUGGACCAAAGAUUACGGAGUCUAUGGUCAUAGAUCCUGAGUACAGUGAGUUGUUUAGGCUGACGAGCACUUGCGGUCGUCUUCUCAAUGACGUCCAAACCUACGAGAGGGAGUACAAAGAGGGUAAACUCAACAGUGUCUCUCUGCUCGUGCUUCACAAUGAUGGCUCUUUGACUAUACCAGAGGCUAGGAGGAAGUUGCAGAAGCCCAUAGACACCUGCAGAAGAGACCUGCUAAGGUUGGUCCUUAGGGAGGACGAUGCCGUGCCUAGGCCUUGCAAGGAACUGUUCUGGAACAUAUGCAAGACAUGCUACUUUUUCUAUUAUCAGGGAGACGCAUUUAGCUGCCAAGAGGAGAAGGCCGGUGCGGUGGAUGCGGUGAUACAUGAUCCACUCCAACUCCCGAUGAAUCUACUCUCUGACCUUGAUUUAUCUACUUUGCGUGAGAAAACAAAGAUCAACCAUUAA
RNAcentral lists this ribosomal RNA (1830 nucleotides) under Triticum aestivum (bread wheat). RNAcentral's name for it is "partial small subunit ribosomal RNA". The record is from RNAcentral. Lineage: Eukaryota; Viridiplantae; Streptophyta; Magnoliopsida; Poales; Poaceae.